This 331-nucleotide unclassified non-coding RNA is filed under the name soil metagenome. RNAcentral's name for it is "partial contains 5.8S ribosomal RNA, internal transcribed spacer 2, and large subunit ribosomal RNA". The stretch from base 1 to 120 matches the Rfam family "5.8S ribosomal RNA", at positions 35 to 154 of the family's 154-position model. The record is from RNAcentral.
GAUGAAGAACGUAGCGAAAUGCGAUAAGUAAUGUGAAUUGCAGAGUUCAGUGAAUCAUCGAAUCUUUGAACGCACAUUGCGCCCGCCAGUAUUCUGGCGGGCAUGCCUGUUCGAGCGUCAUUUCACCACUCAAGCCUCGCUUGGUAUUGGGCAACGCGGUCCGCCGCGUGCCUCAAAUCGACCGGCUGGGUCUUCUGUCCCCUAAGCGUUGUGGAAACUAUUCGCUAAAGGGUGUUCGGGAGGCUACGCCGUAAAACAACCCCAUUUCUAAGGUUGACCUCGGAUCAGGUAGGGAUACCCGCUGAACUUAAGCAUAUCAAUAAGCGGAGGA